GUUCUAGUUUAGAACUUUAUCUGGUUCUAACUUGCACCAGCAGUGGUCAUUGUAUCUGCAAGCUGGCCCUCUCAGUACUGGAGAUGAGGAAGUGAGGUUGUGCAGGACAUCUCCCCUUCUUCCCUCAGUGCCUUGUAACCCACACCUCUCCUCUCCUCUGGUGACUUAUUUCUUAGUUUACUUUAUACUGGGUUUUCUGUAAACCGCUAAGAUGUGCCUGACUUAUCGGAAGGACUGUCUUGUGUGCAAACAGCCCUCUCCAGAAAGAGUCACUAAUGACCUCUCCCCCAGCCCUGGUUGUUUCAACAUGGUGGUUUUCUUCAUGGUUCUUCCCAAAGUAACUUGGGAGGCCGCCAUAUUACAGUGUUAAAUACUACGUAUCUUAUAAAAGUGAUUCUAGUUACCAUGAAGAUCUUACAUUUGAAACUAGGAUCAUUAACUCUUCAAAGACUUGCUAAUCUACCUGCCGAUUCGUGAUGGCUACUUGGCUCUGAUCCCCGGAAGAGGUAAAGGGGUAACUGGCAUUUCGUAUUUCUGGUGGUUAGAUUCCAGGGUUCUUUGGGCUACUUGUUAAAGAUGUCGUUGCCUGUGGCCAAUCCAUCGAGACCCUUUCUGAUGGUUCAACAGAGGAAAGAAGACAUUCAGGCACUAAAAUAAAUAAUUUGAGUAUUUGCAGAUCUGAAGAGAGUGAUCCAUUUGGGAGGGGCCAUGCCGUGGGCCUCACAGUUCUGACAGAGGCAUUGCAAGAACUCGUUUAAACCAUCCUUCUAUGAAAACAAGGGACCAGUUUUGGUGUCUUAAGACUUUCUUUCUAGCGUAUUGUGAGGUUUCGUCUAGCUCAGACAUUGGUGAGUUCGGCGGCCGAUGGAUGCUUGAUGCAUGCUUGCAUGCAUUGUUGUGUAGCCAGCUUUGAAAUGCUUCUUUCUCUUGCGAAUGGCAGAACAAUCAUGUCCUUCUUUGUAAGGGAGUAAGUCAGUGAUUUUAUUUGCUCCAUGGGUUUGUGGUCAUAUCCCAGGCUUAGGCUGCCCUCAGUUUCCUAUGCCAAGGUGUGUGCUGUAGCUUUUUGAUCCUAGGGGGAAAAAGAUCGUCUGUGGAGCCACCCUUCUUUAAGAGUGAGCGUAUGAUAGAGGGUUUGUCUGACUUACUGUUUUAAUAUCUUCUAAGAUGACAUCCUCAUACUUCUUUUUUCCUUUUUGCUGCUCUGUGGGCUCAAACCACCUCACAUUAUAGCAUCAUCUGGAAAGAGGAUUUAAGUCUUUCAUUAUGGAUAUAAUGAAACACCUUCUGGGUUUUAUGCCAUGGGCUCUUAAAACUGUUACAAAAUGUGAAUUUAUAAAGUACUUUGUUUUCCCUCUGUGACCUGUUACUUCAGGCCACUGGGCGACAUCUUAGCAGUCUGCAGCUCCUGAGUCAGUUACUGGGACUUCAGAAGGAAAAGUUGCCCACCCUUCCCCCAUCCUGCUUACGUGCAUGCACACAUGUGUGCAUGUGUGUGUGCCUGCAGAUGUAUACUUGACAACAAAAGAAAGCCUGGAGGCCAGAUCCUGACCCAGAAUGUUCUAUUGUGUUGCUGGGCUCCAGUUCUGAAGAAGGACUCUAAGACGAUCCAUGGAGUGGACCAAAGCUCUUAUUUAAUUGCACAGCUCAGAACUUUGCUGCCAGAAGCACCCACUCCGGUGUUGGCCUCCUCACUGCUGUCUCGAACUGACUUUUAAAAUUAAGUUAAACUUUUUGUUUGCAGGAGAGUAUGAGCUGUAACAUUACGUGCACAGACAUUGUGACUCAUGGAAUCUUUACUCCGAUGUAGUUAAUAAACUUCUUUGCACCUUGUGGCU
This 1835-nucleotide long non-coding RNA is filed under the name Rattus norvegicus (Norway rat). RNAcentral describes it as "long non-coding RNA NONRATT027642". Lineage: Eukaryota; Metazoa; Chordata; Mammalia; Rodentia; Muridae. The record is from RNAcentral.